GCAGAUCUUGGUGGUAGUAGCAAAAAUUCAAGCGAGAGCCUUGAGGACUGGAGUGGAGAAGGGUUCCAUGCGAACAGCGAUUGGACAUGGGUGAGUCGAUCCUAAGAGAUUGGGUAAUUCCGUGAGAGAAGCACUAAACUGGUGCUAUCCAUCGAAAGGGAAACGGGUUAAUAUUCCCGUACCAAGCAGCGGAGUUUGUGCGGUAACGCAAAUGAACUCGGAAACAUCGGCAAAGGCCCUGGGGAGAGUUCUCUUUUCUAUUUAACAGUUCCGACAGCCGUGGAAACGAGUUAUUCGGAGAAGCGGGGGCGCGACUGGCAGAACAGUGCCUUCGUGCAUUGUCCGGUGUGCUUUUGUCGAUCCUUGAAAAACCGAGGGAAAAUAAAACUCUCGUCCUUGAUCGUACCCAAAACCGCAUCAGGUCUCCAAGGUGA
This 434-nucleotide ribosomal RNA is filed under the name Chlorarachnion reptans. RNAcentral describes it as "partial Eukaryotic large subunit ribosomal RNA". It matches the Rfam family "Eukaryotic large subunit ribosomal RNA", at positions 1444 to 1875 of the family's 3401-position model. Lineage: Eukaryota; Cercozoa; Chlorarachniophyceae. The record is from RNAcentral.